UGACACGGGGUGCCCCAAGCACGCAGUGCUUCGGGCUGAGAUGACACCCGUCGAACCUGAUCCAGGUAGAGCUGGCGUAGGGAUGUCC
Molecule: non-coding RNA, 88 nt
Filed under: uncultured Nocardiopsis sp.
Lineage: Bacteria; Bacillati; Actinomycetota; Actinomycetes; Streptosporangiales; Nocardiopsidaceae
Description: TPP riboswitch (THI element)
Rfam family: TPP riboswitch aptamer (THI element)
About the family: Vitamin B(1) in its active form thiamin pyrophosphate (TPP) is an essential coenzyme that is synthesised by coupling of pyrimidine and thiazole moieties in bacteria. The previously detected thiamin-regulatory element, thi box was extended, resulting in a new, highly conserved RNA secondary structure, the THI element, which is widely distributed in eubacteria and also occurs in some archaea.
Source: RNAcentral